Misgurnus anguillicaudatus (oriental weatherfish) is the source of this 941-nucleotide non-coding RNA. NCBI's taxonomy places the organism in Eukaryota, Metazoa, Chordata, Actinopteri, Cypriniformes, Cobitidae. The record is from RefSeq and is a predicted model, not a curated record.
UUGUACUGCUUAAUACGUUUCCCUUUAGGACGUAUUUAUUUAUUUAUUUAUUAAUUUAUUAAAAUUUUAAUUUACUUAUUUUUUUAUUUAAAGCAGAUUUCGCACAAGUGUGUGAACGCUGUGAGUGUACCGCGCAUGCGCUGGUCAUGACUUUCCUCAAAGUCGUUGCGUCACCGGAUCUAGCGAAGCCUCCGUGAAGCUAAAGCAUGUUCUCUUCAUUCUGAUAUGUUUUUGGGAUUAUAUUUGCCCUAUCGUGUUUACAGUGCUGUGUGUAGAGAGGUGUUGACACCAUGGGACCACAGUUGCUCUCCUGUCUUGUUGGAUCUCUGACUCGUCAGUUGUCCCAGGUUGGCCGGUACACUGCUCUUGGCUACUUACCUGCAGUAGGUGCACAAAGAUGCAUCCAUACCAUAACAUCUGUAACAACACAAUUAAGGGUUGCCCCCAACCCAACAUGCAACCUGCGCUCUCCGUUCAUCUCACCCUUGCUUGGACAGUGCCAGCAGCUGAUGUGUGUUCAGCCAUCUGCUGGCAUGAAGACAAAAACUGCUCUUAAAAGACGCUGCAAAGAAUGCUUUUUUGUACGCCGCCGUGGAAGGUUGUUUGUGUUUUGCAAGGCCCACCCCAGACACAAGCAAAGACAGGGAUGAAAGGGAUACUUUGUUGUUAUAAUACCGCUUUGUAUGUCAAAUAAAGGAAUUGAGAUGACCUGAUUUGGUUUGCUGAGCAUGUAGAAGUCAUUUACUAAUAACUAAAGCUUUACUAUGUGAAUAUGCUCCAAGGUUUCAGUUUCAUUUAUUGGAAAUGUUUCCAACUGGCAUACUUUCUUAAAUGUUCAGUAAAACAGUGAUUAACUAAAUAUCAUUCCGGCUUUAAAUGCAUCUGCAAGCUCUUGAUUUAAAAGUUACUGUUGUUAGUAAAAAUUACGUUCUGAAAUAUAA